UACGUAGGUGGCAAGCGUUAUCCGGAAUUAUUGGGCGUAAAGCGCGCGCAGGCGGUUUCUUAAGUCUGAUGUGAAAGCCCACGGCUCAACCGUGGAGGGUCAUUGGAAACUGGGGAACUUGAGUGCAGAAGAGAAAAGCGGAAUUCCACGUGUAGCGGUGAAAUGCGCAGAUAUCAGGAGGAACACCAAUGGCGAAGGCAGCUCGCUGGGACGGUACUGACGCUGAGACGCGAAAGCGUGGGGAGCAAACAGG
RNAcentral lists this ribosomal RNA (253 nucleotides) under uncultured prokaryote. RNAcentral's name for it is "partial 16S ribosomal RNA". It matches the Rfam family "Bacterial small subunit ribosomal RNA", at positions 524 to 776 of the family's 1533-position model. The record is from RNAcentral.